GUAGUCCAUGCCGUAAACGUUGGGCACUAGGUGUGGGGGACAUUCCACGUUUUCCGCGCCGUAGCUAACGCAUUAAGUGCCCCGCCUGGGGAGUACGGCCGCAAGGCUAAAACUCAAAGGAAUUGACGGGGGCCCGCACAAGCGGCGGAGCAUGCGGAUUAAUUCGAUGCAACGCGAAGAACCUUACCAAGGCUUGACAUAUACCGGAUCGUUCCAGAGAUGGUUCUUCCCCUUUGGGGUCGGUAUACAGGUGGUGCAUGGUUGUCGUCAGCUCGUGUCGUGAGAUGUUGGGUUAAGUCCCGCAACGAGCGCAACCCUCGUUCCAUGUUGCCAGCACGUGAUGGUGGGGACUCAUGGGAGACUGCCGGGGUCAACUCGGA
RNAcentral lists this ribosomal RNA (380 nucleotides) under uncultured bacterium. RNAcentral describes it as "bacterial SSU rRNA". It matches the Rfam family "Bacterial small subunit ribosomal RNA", at positions 790 to 1167 of the family's 1533-position model. The record is from RNAcentral.